This 330-nucleotide ribosomal RNA is filed under the name uncultured bacterium. RNAcentral describes it as "bacterial SSU rRNA". It matches the Rfam family "Bacterial small subunit ribosomal RNA", at positions 568 to 898 of the family's 1533-position model. The record is from RNAcentral.
UUCGUAGGCGGUGCGGCAAGUCGGGAGUGAAAUCUAUGGGCUCAACCCAUAGGCUGCUUCCGAAACUGCCGUGCUGGAGUGUGGGAGAGGCGCGUGGAAUUGCAGGUGUAGCGGUGAAAUGCGUAGAUAUUUGCAGGAACACCCGUGGCGAAAGCGGCGCGCUGGACCACUACUGACGCUGAGGAACGAAAGCUAGGGGAGCAAACAGGAUUAGAUACCCUGGUAGUCCUAGCCCUAAACGAUCAGGGCUUGGGGUGCCGCCCGUUCGGGCGUCGUCCCGGAGCUAACGCGUUAAGUCCUGCACCUGGGGAGUACGGUCGCAAGACUGAA